This 253-nucleotide ribosomal RNA is filed under the name uncultured bacterium. RNAcentral's name for it is "partial 16S ribosomal RNA". It matches the Rfam family "Bacterial small subunit ribosomal RNA", at positions 524 to 776 of the family's 1533-position model. The record is from RNAcentral.
UACAGAGGGGGCUAGCGUUGUUCGGAAUUACUGGGCGUAAAGGGCGCGUAGGUGGCCAACUAAGUCAGACGUGAAAUCCCCAGGCUCAACCUGGGAACUGCGUCUGAUACUGGAUGGCUUGAAUUCGGGAGAGGGAUGCAGAAUUCCAGGUGUAGCGGUGAAAUGCGUAGAUAUCUGGAGGAACACCGGUGGCGAAGGCGACAUCCUGGACCGGUAUUGACGCUGAGGCGCGAAAGCCAGGGGAGCAAACGGG